Molecule: long non-coding RNA, 842 nt
Organism: Pyrus x bretschneideri (Chinese white pear)
Lineage: Eukaryota; Viridiplantae; Streptophyta; Magnoliopsida; Rosales; Rosaceae
Exons: 2
Source: RefSeq, a predicted model, not a curated record
GAACCUCGUUUGGUAAAGGAAGAGAACGUGAAAAAUGAAGGAAUGACGGAAAAUCAUAGAUUCAACGGUCAAAAUUGGGAGCGGAGAUAUGAAAGACCUGCGGAUCCGAGAUUAUAAGGUGUAUGUAUGCCCCUUUUUUGUUUUACAUUCGAGCGGGAACCAGCUUGAUCUGUGAAUGUGCUAUAUGCGUAUGUUGGUUUUAAAUUGCUGAACAUAAUGAACUGUAUGAUUUGGGCCUGUGUAUCCGUGUAUGAAUAUGAUCUCUGCAUGCUCGUAAUUUUCCUUUGUGUUUGUGCAUGUUUCCUGAUGAUGAAUGUUGAGCAAAAUUUUGCAUGAAAUUUGAUCUGCGAUAUGCGGACCCUUCUGCACACUUGGAUCGCCGAUUGUAGAACCGUGUUCAUGGGAGAGACUGUGAAGUAAGUGGAUCCAAGUAAUGUAGAAGCUUCCAAGCAAACCCCACUGCUGUGUGGGAAAGGUCUUGGUGGCACAUAAACAUGGGUAGGACUCGGUUCUGGUGGGAUUAUAGGAUCAGCAUGUGCUGCUCUCUCCCCUGGACGUGAAUAACGGGCAGAUGGCUCCUCAGUUCCUACACAAACCUCUCGAUCAUCAUAGCUUGUCCCACAGUUUAAUGCUUGAAUCAGAAAUCCUUGAUUGGUUAUUUCAAUGUACAAUUCAGAUAAUUCCAACAAUUUACAGAGUUUGUCCUCUACCGGAAGCUCCUGUGACACAUUAAACUGCCCAAAAUAGUGUUCAAGAUGCUUUUGCAAACUUGGGGUGUAGAGCUCUGAAUAUGGAUUGUUCCAAUUUCUUUGAGUUGUUUCUCAUAUUGAUAUGCUCCUGGA